Molecule: ribosomal RNA, 253 nt
Filed under: uncultured bacterium
Lineage: Bacteria
Description: partial 16S ribosomal RNA
Rfam family: Bacterial small subunit ribosomal RNA
Source: RNAcentral
UACGUAGGGGGCAAGCGUUGUCCGGAAUCAUUGGGCGUAAAGAGCGUGUAGGCGGUCCGGUAAGUCGGUUGUGAAGACUGGGGGCUCAACCCUCAGAGGCCGACCGAUACUGUCGGGCUAGAGUCCGGAAGAGGCGAGUGGAAUUCCUGGUGUAGCGGUGAAAUGCGCAGAUAUCAGGAGGAACACCAAUGGCGAAGGCAGCUCGCUGGGACGGUACUGACGCUGAGGCGCGAAAGCGUGGGGAGCAAACAGG